Scomber scombrus (Atlantic mackerel) is the source of this 276-nucleotide long non-coding RNA. RefSeq lists it as uncharacterized. The record is from RefSeq and is a predicted model, not a curated record. The transcript has 5 exons. NCBI's taxonomy places the organism in Eukaryota, Metazoa, Chordata, Actinopteri, Scombriformes, Scombridae.
CAGGAUUCCUGAUCAGAGGUGUCUUCACUAAACUAGACACGCCUGCCUCAUCCUCAACAUCUAAUGGCUUUAGUGGAACAACACAAUUCAACAAAAAGGCGUCAGAGAGCUACAAGAAAAUAGCCCCCCACACCGUAAGGCCCACCUCAGAGAACCAGGAUGGCUCAGUUAGCCAUGAGGAGAAGGAGAGACGGACACAGACAGCCAACAGUGUUCUCAAGAAAUCUGCUCCGAGGCAACGGUCUUAUGUGCUUUCUGCUGCUAAGAUAUAUGAGU